This 253-nucleotide ribosomal RNA is filed under the name uncultured bacterium. RNAcentral describes it as "partial 16S ribosomal RNA". It matches the Rfam family "Bacterial small subunit ribosomal RNA", at positions 524 to 776 of the family's 1533-position model. The record is from RNAcentral.
UACGGAGGGUGCUAGCGUUGUUCGGAAUUACUGGGCGUAAAGGGCUCGUAGGCGGCCAACUAAGUCGGACGUGAAAUCCCCAGGCUCAACCUGGGAACUGCGUCCGAUACUGGAUGGCUUGAAUCCGGGAGAGGGAUGCAGAAUUCCAGGUGUAGCGGUGAAAUGCGUAGAUAUCUGGAGGAAUACCGGUGGCGAAGGCGGCAUCCUGGACCGGCAUUGACGCUGAGGAGCGAAAGCCAGGGGAGCAAACGGG